AUGUCCUCUAUGACCGGCAGGGACUGGGACGCCGCAUGCGGGGCCUGUUCUUCUAGGGGUCCUCAAUGGGGUCCUCAAUGGGGUCCUCAAUGGGGCUUCAAUGGGGCUUCAAUGGGGCUUCAAUGGGGGCUUCAAUGGGGCUUCAAUGGGGCCUCAAUGGGGCUUCAAUGGGGGCUUCAAUGGGGCCUCAAUGGAGGCUUCAAUGGGGCUUCAAUGGGGCUUCAAUGGGGGCUUCAAUGGGGCUUCAAUGGGGCCUCAAUGGGGCUUCAAUGGGGGCUUCAAUGGGGCCUCAAUGGAGGCUUCAAUGGGGCUUCAAUGGGGCUUCAAUGGGGACCUCAAUGGGGCUUCAAUGGGGGCUUCAAUGGGGUCCUCAAUGGGGCUUCAAUGGGGGCUUCAAUGGGGCUUCAAUGGGGCCUCAAUGGGGCUUCAAUGGGGGCUUCAAUGGGGCCUCAAUGGAGGCUUCAAUGGGGCUUCAAUGGGGCUUCAAUGGGGACCUCAAUGGGGCUUCAAUGGGGCUUCAAUGGGGGCCUCAAUGGGGCUUCAAUGGGGCUUCAAUGGGGUCCUCAAUGGGGCUUCAAUGGGGCUUCAAUGGGGCUUCAAUGGGGUCCUCAAUGGGGCUUCAAUGGGGCUUCAAUGGGGCUUCAAUGGGGUCCUCAAUGGGGUCCUCAAUGGGGCUUCAAUGGGGGCUUCAAUGGGGCCUCAAUGGGGCUUCAAUGGGGCUUCAAUGGGGUCCUCAAUGGGGCUUCAAUGGGGCUUCAAUGGGGUCCUCAAUGGGGCUUCAAUGGGGCUUCAAUGGGGUCCUCAAUGGGGCUUCAAUGGGGCUUCAAUGGGGUCCUCAAUGGGGCUUCAAUGGGGGCUUCAAUGGGGCCUCAAUGGGGCUUCAAUGGGGGCUUCAAUGGGGCCUCAAUGGGGCUUCAAUGGGGGCUUCAAUGGGGUCCUCAAUGGGGCUUCAAUGGGGGCUUCAAUGGGUCCUCAAUGGGGCCUCAAUGGGGGCUUCAAUGGGGGCUUCAAUGGGGCUUCAAUGGGGCCUCAAUGGGGCUUCAAUGGGGGCUUCAAUGGGGCUUCAAUGGGGGCUUCAAUGGGGGCUUCAAUGGGGUCCUCAAUGGGAGGUUCUCAAUGGGAGGUUCUCAAUGGGGGGUCCUCGAGGUUGGGGGCUGCCCUGAGCAUUGCCAGAGGCAAUAA
Molecule: long non-coding RNA, 1182 nt
Filed under: Melopsittacus undulatus (budgerigar)
Lineage: Eukaryota; Metazoa; Chordata; Aves; Psittaciformes; Psittaculidae
Description: lncRNA (ENSMUNG00000019694.1)
Source: RNAcentral